This 2188-nucleotide ribosomal RNA is filed under the name Escherichia coli. RNAcentral's name for it is "partial 23S ribosomal RNA". It matches the Rfam family "Bacterial large subunit ribosomal RNA", at positions 1 to 2215 of the family's 2925-position model. Lineage: Bacteria; Pseudomonadati; Pseudomonadota; Gammaproteobacteria; Enterobacterales; Enterobacteriaceae. The record is from RNAcentral.
GUUAAGCGACUAAGCGUACACGGUGGAUGCCCUGGCAGUCAGAGGCGAUGAAGGACGUGCUAAUCUGCGAUAAGCGUCGGUAAGGUGAUAUGAACCGUUAUAACCGGCGAUUUCCGAAUGGGGAAACCCAGUGUGAUUCGUCACACUAUCAUUAACUGAAUCCAUAGGUUAAUGAGGCGAACCGGGGGAACUGAAACAUCUAAGUACCCCGAGGAAAAGAAAUCAACCGAGAUUCCCCCAGUAGCGGCGAGCGAACGGGGAGCAGCCCAGAGCCUGAAUCAGUGUGUGUGUUAGUGGAAGCGUCUGGAAAGGCGCGCGAUACAGGGUGACAGCCCCGUACACAAAAAUGCACAUGCUGUGAGCUCGAUGAGUAGGGCGGGACACGUGGUAUCCUGUCUGAAUAUGGGGGGACCAUCCUCCAAGGCUAAAUACUCCUGACUGACCGAUAGUGAACCAGUACCGUGAGGGAAAGGCGAAAAGAACCCCGGCGAGGGGAGUGAAAAAGAACCUGAAACCGUGUACGUACAAGCAGUGGGAGCACGCUUAGGCGUGUGACUGCGUACCUUUUGUAUAAUGGGUCAGCGACUUAUAUUCUGUAGCAAGGUUAACCGAAUAGGGGAGCCGAAGGGAAACCGAGUCUUAACUGGGCGUUAAGUUGCAGGGUAUAGACCCGAAACCCGGUGAUCUAGCCAUGGGCAGGUUGAAGGUUGGGUAACACUAACUGGAGGACCGAACCGACUAAUGUUGAAAAAUUAGCGGAUGACUUGUGGCUGGGGGUGAAAGGCCAAUCAAACCGGGAGAUAGCUGGUUCUCCCCGAAAGCUAUUUAGGUAGCGCCUCGUGAAUUCAUCUCCGGGGGUAGAGCACUGUUUCGGCAAGGGGGUCAUCCCGACUUACCAACCCGAUGCAAACUGCGAAUACCGGAGAAUGUUAUCACGGGAGACACACGGCGGGUGCUAACGUCCGUCGUGAAGAGGGAAACAACCCAGACCGCCAGCUAAGGUCCCAAAGUCAUGGUUAAGUGGGAAACGAUGUGGGAAGGCCCAGACAGCCAGGAUGUUGGCUUAGAAGCAGCCAUCAUUUAAAGAAAGCGUAAUAGCUCACUGGUCGAGUCGGCCUGCGCGGAAGAUGUAACGGGGCUAAACCAUGCACCGAAGCUGCGGCAGCGACGCUGAUGCGUUGUUGGGUAGGGGAGCGUUCUGUAAGCCUGCGAAGGUGUGCUGUGAGGCAUGCUGGAGGUAUCAGAAGUGCGAAUGCUGACAUAAGUAACGAUAAAGCGGGUGAAAAGCCCGCUCGCCGGAAGACCAAGGGUUCCUGUCCAACGUUAAUCGGGGCAGGGUGAGUCGACCCCUAAGGCGAGGCCGAAAGGCGUAGUCGAUGGGAAACAGGUUAAUAUUCCUGUACUUGGUGUUACUGCGAAGGGGGGACGGAGAAGGCUAUGUUGGCCGGGCGACGGUUGUCCCGGUUUAAGCGUGUAGGCUGGUUUUCCAGGCAAAUCCGGAAAAUCAAGGCUGAGGCGUGAUGACGAGGCACUACGGUGCUGAAGCAACAAAUGCCCUGCUUCCAGGAAAAGCCUCUAAGCAUCAGGUAACAUCAAAUCGUACCCCAAACCGACACAGGUGGUCAGGUAGAGAAUACCAAGGCGCUUGAGAGAACUCGGGUGAAGGAACUAGGCAAAAUGGUGCCGUAACUUCGGGAGAAGGCACGCUGAUAUGUAGGUGAAGCGACUUGCUCGUGGAGCUGAAAUCAGUCGAAGAUACCAGCUGGCUGCAACUGUUUAUUAAAAACACAGCACUGUGCAAACACGAAAGUGGACGUAUACGGUGUGACGCCUGCCCGGUGCCGGAAGGUUAAUUGAUGGGGUUAGCGCAAGCGAAGCUCUUGAUCGAAGCCCCGGUAAACGGCGGCCGUAACUAUAACGGUCCUAAGGUAGCGAAAUUCCUUGUCGGGUAAGUUCCGACCUGCACGAAUGGCGUAAUGAUGGCCAGGCUGUCUCCACCCGAGACUCAGUGAAAUUGAACUCGCUGUGAAGAUGCAGUGUACCCGCGGCAAGACGGAAAGACCCCGUGAACCUUUACUAUAGCUUGACACUGAACAUUGAGCCUUGAUGUGUAGGAUAGGUGGGAGGCUUUGAAGUGUGGACGCCAGUCUGCAUGGAGCCGACCUUGAAAUACCACCCUUUAAUGUUU